This 490-nucleotide ribosomal RNA is filed under the name uncultured bacterium. RNAcentral describes it as "partial 16S ribosomal RNA". It matches the Rfam family "Bacterial small subunit ribosomal RNA", at positions 30 to 507 of the family's 1533-position model. The record is from RNAcentral.
AUUGAACGCUGGCGGCAGGCCUAACACAUGCAAGUCGAACGGUAACAGGAAGAAGCUUGCUUCUUUGCUGACGAGUGGCGGACGGGUGAGUCAUGUCUGGGAAACUGCCUGAUGGAGGGGGAUAACUACUGGAAACGGUAGCUAAUACCGCAUAACGUCGCAAGACCAAAGAGGGGGACCUUCGGGCCUCUUGCCAUCGGAUGUGCCCAGAUGGGAUUAGCUAGUAGGUGGGGUAACGGCUCACCUAGGCGACGAUCCCUAGCUGGUCUGAGAGGAUGACCAGCCACACUGGAACUGAGACACGGUCCAGACUCCUACGGGAGGCAGCAGUGGGGAAUCUUGCGCAAUGGGCGCAAGCCUGAUGCAGCCAUGCCGCGUGUAUGAAGAAGGCCUUCGGGUUGUAAAGUACUUUCAGCGGGGAGGAAGGGAGUAAAGUUAAUACCUUUACUCAUUGACGUUACCCGCAGAAGAAGCACCGGCUAACUCCGUG